AAGGUGCUAUGGGCAGACUUCAUAAGCCCCAUGGAAGUCUGCUGUUGUUAAAAUAACUGUGAAAUCUAAACCAAAUAUUUGGCUCACUUAGUGCUUAAGGUAAUUGAUGCAGCUGAUACCAGGCCCUGCCAGUGUAUGAUGGCUUGGCAGAGUCAAGGGGGUAUGUUAAUGUAACCAAUCUGUUUCCAUUUCCACUUGAAUCUUCAGUUUAUUUUGAAUGUGAGGUUGGAUUAUAAGAUCUCCUGCCUCCUGUGUAUAUUUAAGCGAGAGUUUGAUGAAAGCAAUUCCCAGACUUCAGAGACAUCCUCCGGAAACAGCAGCCAAGAAGGGCCAAGUAAUGUACCAGGUGCUCUUGACUUUGAACACAUUGAAGAGCAAGCAGAAGGCAUCUUUGGAGGAAGGAAAGUAUAUUUUCAGUUACUGUUUCGUAGGUGGUUCUACAGUUGGGAAGGCUGCUCUUCCAGAGCUCUCAAAGGCCUUCUCUUUACUAUGUUAGUAAAUAUUUCAUCUCUGGGGUUAGGUUGUUUUGGUGCUAUCUUUGGAUCUCUUAGUAUUCAAGUCAGAGUUAUCUUUGUUUGCUUGAUUGGGAGGAGAGAGAGAGAGAGAGAGUGAGUGUGUCCCCUGCCUAGGACAGAAGUAAGUGUGUGUGUGUGUGUUUGUGUCUGUGUGUGUAUGUGUGUGUCCCACCUAGGACAGAAAGGAUUUAAGGAGAUUUCUCAACAUUACAAGAUUAUUUUUACAUAGUGAGGAAAUACAAUCAAAAGAAAGAAUAGAAAGAGAGAGCAGGCUCAAAACAGAGUGAAAUUAGUGAGAUCAUGUCCUUCUGCUGCUGCUGGGCUGCAGUUUUAUCCCUGAGCUCCUAAUGGGCUAUGCAACAAAUAAAGCAAAAUCUGUUCUUUCAUGAUUCUUGAUGCUGU
RNAcentral lists this long non-coding RNA (917 nucleotides) under Aotus nancymaae (Ma's night monkey). RNAcentral's name for it is "lncRNA (ENSANAG00000039441.1)". Lineage: Eukaryota; Metazoa; Chordata; Mammalia; Primates; Aotidae. The record is from RNAcentral.